GCCGCAUUAGCCCAGAUGGUAGGGGCGUCCCCAGUACAGAUGGCAAAGGUCGUUGGUUCAAAUCCAGCCUGCGGUA
Non-coding RNA from Phthorimaea operculella (potato tuberworm), 76 nucleotides. Lineage: Eukaryota; Metazoa; Arthropoda; Insecta; Lepidoptera; Gelechiidae. The record is from the annotation of a GenBank genome assembly.